ACCAAUCUAUUGACCUAGGGCAAAGUGCGAGCUGUUAUUUUCUGCGUGUUUUUCACUUUGCAAAUUUUCCAUAGCAAACAUGGUCCAAUUGCCCUGAAACAUUUUGGUGAUUUUUUCUGGACCAAAAGAAGACCAACGAGCAUCGGAAGAAGGUCGGAGGCCUCACGAGGAUCCCACAAGCUAAGAGGGCACGACUUGGGGGGCUGAUAGCUGGUGCGUCCCUCGUGGCCCUCUCGACUCUCUUCUUUGGCUUAUAAAUUCUCAUCUACCCUAAAAACACCAUA
This 284-nucleotide long non-coding RNA is filed under the name Hordeum vulgare. RNAcentral's name for it is "long non-coding RNA (HVUL_LNC012444)". The record is from RNAcentral. Lineage: Eukaryota; Viridiplantae; Streptophyta; Magnoliopsida; Poales; Poaceae.